This 92-nucleotide transfer RNA is filed under the name Caenorhabditis elegans. RNAcentral describes it as "Unclassified non-coding RNA F36D4.10". Lineage: Eukaryota; Metazoa; Nematoda; Chromadorea; Rhabditida; Rhabditidae. The record is from RNAcentral.
AAAAGGCAAAAAGUUCGGUGCCUCAUGCUGGAAUCGAACCAGCGACCUUCUGUUUACUAGACAGACGCUCUGCCACUGAGCCAAUGAGGCGG